Molecule: long non-coding RNA, 6062 nt
Filed under: Setaria italica (foxtail millet)
Lineage: Eukaryota; Viridiplantae; Streptophyta; Magnoliopsida; Poales; Poaceae
Description: long non-coding RNA (SITA_LNC004100)
Source: RNAcentral
CUCAAUUUACCAGGCAAAGUUAGGCUUGCCCGCGCAAGAGAGCGAAUUCGGCUCGCCUGGCGUUGUAAAACCUUGAAAUCACAGGCACCGAGGCAAGUAGUAAACAAACCAAACGACAAGCUCCUGCCGAUUUCUUGCCAGGCCAGGCGAGACAAGCGGCCAGCAAUGAAUGCAAACAUGCCAUCUCACUCUCCGGCUCUCCGCUGGGGAUGUAGCUACGCGCUUCCCUUUCUCUGCCGCCCUCGUGCUCGCACGGCCGCACCGAGAGCUAAUGGGAGCCGAGCCGUCUCACCCAUGCGCCCUCGCCGAAGCCGACGAUAGCUGCGCCACCGUGCCCAGAGAAGGGAGAAUCAGUGUCGCUCGGUGCUCGUGCUCAUCACCGGAGCAACGUUAGCUUCCUGUCCAAAUCUUCCGCAACCAGCAAGCAAGAUAGUUUUUCUUCUGUUCAGAUCAGUGAAUGCCUGUACAUGAGUGUCGAUCUGCAUAUGGUUUUAAUAAUGAUCUGCUUCUCCUCUCGAAUUUGCAUGCCUUUUUGUCCUCUUCUAUGAAUGUGAAGUCUUACGGCCUUGUUUUGUAAGCUUGUUGUUCUGCGGUUAUGGUUAAUCGAUGGAUGCUUUGGAAAUUCCUCGUGGAUUCUUGCUAAGAUGCCUAGAUGCAUAUUGUUCGGGCAAUUCGGGAUUAUCCGAGCCCGAAUCUGAAUUUUCGGGUACCUGAAAUGUCGGGUUUCAAUUAUCUCGGGCAAACCUCAGGUUGCAGAACCCGAAUUUGUAAAAGCUCGAAAAACCCGACCCGAAAUUUUCUGGUAACCCGAAUACUCACCCCUAGUCACGGGCUGUUGCUCGCUGGACGGAUCGGGUCGAGCAACUGGCUGAAUUUAAUUUGUCUCUACUGCUUGGACGCGAAUAUCGUCUUCCGUGAGCCGCCUCCAUGCAACAUGCAUCUCUUUUCGUCUCUGGGUCGUUUUUUCCUUGAACUUGUAUCUAGCUGAAGAGGUUUAGACAAAGUUUUUUUUCUUCGCAGCAACUCUAUGUGUCAAUUUUAUACAAGAACAUGCUCAAAGUAACCCGAAUGAGUACGUUGUGCGAUCCACCACCCUAAAAAUCACUUGUAAUUAACCAUACUAAGCUUCUCCAAGAGUGUCAAAAACUAGUUUUCGACAUUACUAAAAAUUAUCGGGAGGAAAAAGAAACUCAUCACCCAAUGGUUUAAAAAAAACUAGAUCCAAAAAAAACUGAAUCAACUUGAUCUCUUGAGUUUAUUGGUCAGAAUCAGCUCUACUUUUCAACCAUGGAACAAUGUUUUUCUCUCACACAAAACAGCAGAAUGGGUAUUUUUCAGACGAAGAAACCAUCAGCCGAACAAGCCCAUUAAGUUUCACCACAUCAAACAAUCUGUGGACCCGGUAUUGGGUUUUCCACGUGAAAAAAAAAACUGACGGUUCUUUUCCUACUGGCGUUGCCCAUCUACUCCGGAAAAAAAGGAACGGUAACUUUUUUCUCCAAGAAAAAAGAAUGGCAUUUUUCUCUCAUCGAAUGUCUUUUUUUUUAUUGGGAGUGAGCGGGUGGGGUGUAAAAAUAGUACAAAUUGAUGUUAGAAUUGGACGCGCUAAAAAAUUAGGCACCAGUUUAGACAACUGUUGAAGCAAUAUUUUUUCUAUUAGUUCCUAAAAUCGAGUUUUAGGAAUAUAUUUUGGACACUCUUGGAGAUGAUCGGACUAAGCAAUGCGCUACCUCUAAAGCUACUGCACUAAGAUUCUUUUUUGGGAGACAAGCGAACAUAUUGACAUAUGUAGUGUUUCCUUACUCUCGCCACACAUGUAUUUUGGCAAGAUGAAGACAACCUCCUUAAUUAAGUUGGUCAUUCUCCACCUCAACUAGCAUGUAUCAUGGUGGGCUGAAAGUUCCAUCACUCACCACCGUUCUCUUGUCAUACAUGGGCUUUAAGAUUUAUUUAGAAUUUUUAGAAUUCCUAUAUAGGCCAAGUCCAAUGUUCCAGUAUUACUCAUCCUCAAACUUCGUUCUACACACCUUACAGUAAGGUCUUGUUUGGAUCUCAGAACUAUAUAAAAAGGUGAACUAAAAUUUACUCCAUGUUUCCUUCAAACCCACCUAUUUUAGACUAAAAGCAGUCAAAAGGACCCAAACUUCUGAGAAAUGAUGAGAGGGCACAUUCACCUUAACCCUUCGCGCACAUGAAAAAGAAAGGGCAAAAUGGAUUUUCCGUAGUAUCUCUUAGCUACAAGUCAUGUGAUCCAAGCAUGAUAUGAAGGAGACUAAUUCAUAGUUCAAGAAGAUUAACUGGACUCAUACGUACAAUAGUCGAAGGAGAUCAAGUAUAUACCAUUUCUGUAACGAUAUUUUGUCUAUGCUAGCUCCUGCUCUCUCCCAGCCUGGCGCCCUGGCCCAAUGAGGAACAGCAUCGACACUGUACUAGUGCUGCUAAUUGGCUUUGAUGAGGCGCCGCGGAUCGGUGAUGGUGCGGUUCCAGUGGCCGUCCGAGGCAUUGACCGUCGCCGCGUCCCUCCUGUGCUGCUCCAGCAUCGCCACCUGGCUCUCGCCCAGCGCGCAGAACCUGUCCCUCAGCUCCGGGGGCUCGAUCCGGUCGUGCACCGCCCACCACCGAGCGUGCGCCUCGUCGCUCGCGAACUGCCGCAGCGCCGGGACGUUCCAGUUGCAGUCGUAGUCGCGGUAGCACAGCCACGGCUUGAUGCCCAAGUAGUGCACGGCAUGCACCUCCGCCGGCUCCGCGCUCAGCACCCGCGCCUGCGCCGUCCGGACCUCCUCGGCCCAGACGUACUUGAGGAAGUUGGCGCGGCGCGGCAGGCGGUGCCACCACGUGAACACCUCGUUCAGGUACCCCUGGUCGCCGCCGUUGUAGGAGUCGAUGUCGUGGAUGCCCGACAUGAGCAGCUCGAAGGUGCAGUUGCACGGCUCCAGCACCAUCACGCCCGAGUUGAAGCGCACGCCACUGUUCACCGUCGCGCUCAGCUCGGACGCCUCCUCGAACAGGAAGUCCAUGUCGCGCAGCACCAGCAGGUCGGCGUCCAGGAACACCACCUUGUCGUAGUGCGUCAGCUGCCACAGCCGGAACUUGCUGUAGUUCCACUCGUUGUAGGUGUCCCGCGCCGCGCGCGGGUUACGGAUGCGCGGGGCCGGGCGCACCUGCCACCCCGCCGUGGCGAGGGCGGCGCGGUGCUCGGCCCCCACGUUCUCCGCGUCCACCAAGGCCACCAGGUCGCGCGUGGACCCCGACUGCCGGAUGCUCUGCGCCAGCGCAAUGGCGCCGCAGACGUAGGCGUCGGCCGAGUGCAGCACGGUGACGUAGGCCUGCCUACCGAUGCUUGAUCUGGGCGGCGUCGCACCUGGUUGUCCAGGUGGCGGCGGCCGGAGAGAAGGGACGGCGAGCUGGCAGGAGCCCACGGGCAGGUCGAGGCGGUGUCGGAGGUAGGCGGCGUCGGGGCUGUAGAGCCAGGCGUGCGCAUGGCGCGAGAGGAGGUGCUUGCAGGGGAAGAGAUUGGGUAGUGGAAGGCACUUGGGCUCGCUCAGGAUCAACACCAUACCAGCCUUGGGAGUACUUGAGCUGCUGCCGUGGAGGGCGAGCUUGGCGGCGGAGAGCUGGAGGUGGAGCCUGCGCACGUCCCUGGACCAGCCUUGGCGGCGGCAGGGGAGCUUGACGGCGACGAGAUCGAAAUCGUGAACCGCGGGAUCGGGGUCGGGGAGGGAGGGGCAGCUACUUCUGUUGCUGUCCUCGUCGACCCAGUUCGGGUAGAGGGCUUCCCAGGUGACUGCGUCCGCGGCAGGCGCCAGGCUCACCGCCCGGACGUCGGCGGCCGGCAACGUGCUCCUCCAGCGCGCCACCUCCGACGAGUUGAAGUUGAGCAGGCCCACUCUGACGAUGCCACUGCCAGUGUCAUCAUUGCCGCUGGAUGACGAGAGGCUCCUGGCGACGCUCUCCCACUGGAUGUCCCACUCGCUGUCCGCCGCGUACGGUCUAGCAGAGAAAACCUCCCCCUCCUCGGAGGCUGCUACUGCCUCUGACUCCUGACGAUCAUGAGGUGAUGAUGACGGUGCUUCCGAAGAGGUUGUUGGGAUCUCGCCACUUGGCGUAGAAGAUGAUACUCUAGCAGCAGGAGGAGCAUCCCCGAGGGACACUGGAAUGGCCCGUGGCAGUACUGCCAAUUGGACGACGACGCAGCAGCCGCCGUUGCCGCGGACGAGCAGCGCCACGAUGGCGCACCCGAAGAACAGAAAGAUCACCAGCAGCUUGUAGAUCCCACUCUUCUUCCGUACGCCGCCGUUCAUGUCUCUGCGCAGGUGAUGAAGGAAGCACUCAAGUGAUGAGAAAUCGCACAAGGAAAGAAAUUAGAGAGAUGUGAUGAGAAAUGCUACAGCAACGGAGCGAUCGAUCGGAACCGAGAAUGGGCGCAGGCAGGAAGUGCAGCCAAACCAAAAUCGAUAUGCAGUAUAGAUGCUUAAUUUGAUCGCACAAUUUGUACUCUACUAGCUGCUUACCUGUCGAUCGCUGGUCGGAGCUUAUAGCUGCAUGCCCUCCAAGAAGGCCGAGGCAGGCAGAGGGCCUUCCUUCAGGUACGCUGCACGUAUAUCCUUUGACCCUAUACGAUGUAUUCCAAAACACAGAAUAUAUGGAGAUAGCUGACUAACUGCGUAAAAAACGCGUGCUUUAUACUGUACGACUACAGACAGGAAAUUGAAAUAGAUCGCGUUGGCUAGGUCAGCUGGUUCCUAGUUAGCUUGUACGUAUAGUACAACUGCAGCAGACGCCAUCUGGAGAAUCCUCAUGGAGUGAAAAUUCUCUCUCUUCUCUGAAAGAUGAGAGGAAGCCAUUUGUUUUACGAAUGAUGGACGGAGCGCAAAUAAUCAUACACUAGUAAAAAAAAUCUUAAAAUUAAUACUGAUGAGCUAGCUAAGUUCAUCGAUCGAUCAUAUCGGGCAGCGGAAAAUUAAUGAUGGAUGUUCCAUCGAUUGAUCCGUCGCCUUGUCCGAUCAAAAUGACCCUAUCUGUUUGGUUGCAUACGGCAACUAGUUAUUUGUGCGGCCCCGAGUUUUAAGGUAAAUCAAGCUCAGGUUGGCACCUACCGCUACCACAACUUUUUUAUUUUAAGAGGGAAAAAAUGGAAACUUUCGUUUUUAAGGCCCUGUUUGGCACGGCUCCACUCCUAAACUCCAGCAACUCCAUCAAAAAAUUCAGCCAAACACUCCAACUCCAAAACUUCAUGGAGUUGCCAACUCCAUGGAGCUGUAGUGCAAAUGGAGGUGGAGUUUUGGAGCACCUCUUUUGCUGCUCCAGAAACCUCUCUUUCGAACCUUCUCGUGGAGUUGGUGGGUAAUUACCCACCAAUGCCACUGGUUACACAAAAAAACGUUUCAUUCUAUUCUCCCGAGCCCCACUCGCCGCCGGAGCCCUGCCCGUCGCCCGUCGCCGCCCGCCGCUGCCCGUCGCCCGUCGCCGUCCGCCGCCGCGCCCGUCGCCCGCCGCUGCCUGUCGCCGCCUGCCGCCCGUCGCCGCCCGCCGCCCGUCGCCGCCCGCCGCCGCCCCUCGCCACCCGCCGCCCCGUCGCUACCCACCCCGCCGCCCGUGGAGGGUCUCCCGUGUGCGGCACAGUGCAGUGGAAAAAGGGGAAGAAGAAGAUGGGAUAGAGAGGAUGACAAGUGGGGCCUUAAUUGGGGGGCAACAAUGGCAAUCCACACUGAAAUCGAUCUUUUUUGGAGCUGAGAGCACCCAUCUAGCCAAACACCUCAUUUUUGUUCUGGAGUUUUGAAGCGGAACUGGCUCCAUGUGGAGUUCUGGAGUGAAGCAGCUUCACCCGGAGUUGGAGCCAUACCAAACAGGACCUAAGUUUCCUACGUGCCUCAUGCUUGUUGAUGGGAAAUUGAGACAAAUGCCUCACCACCAUCUCGUCCAUAACCGUGCCGACAUGACAAAUCAGAUCCAUUGGUAUAUUCAAAUCAUCAGCCUACUACGCCGAAUCCAGUGUUGCACUAGUUCCCGGAUGUUGUCCUAAUAGUGUUCAUCAUGUCAUCAGCACAAUAGUUCAAAGUAUA